CUUAUUUGAUUUUCUUCGGAACUGAAGAUUUGGUGAUUGAGUGGCGGACGGGUGAGUAACGCGUGGGUAACCUACCCUGUACAGGGGGAUAACAGUCAGAAAUGACUGCUAAUACCGCAUAAGACCACAGCACCGCAUGGUGCAGGGGUAAAAACUCCGGUGGUACAGGAUGGACCCGCGUCUGAUUAGCUGGUUGGUGAGGUAACGGCUCACCAAGGCGACGAUCAGUAGCCGGCUUGAGAGAGUGAACGGCCACAUUGGGACUGAGACACGGCCCAAACUCCUACGGGAGGCAGCAGUGGGGAAUAUUGCACAAUGGGGGAAACCCUGAUGCAGCGACGCCGCGUGAGUGAAGAAGUAUCUCGGUAUGUAAAGCUCUAUCAGCAGGGAAGAAAAUGACGGUACCUGACUAAGAAGCCCCGGCUAACUACGUGCCAGCAGCCGCGGUAAUACGUAGGGGGCAAGCGUUAUCCGGAAUUGCUGGGUGUAAAGGGUGCGUAGGUGGUAUGGCAAGUCAGAAGUGAAAACCCAGGGCUUAACUCUGGGACUGCUUUUGAAACUGUCAGACUAGAGUGCAGGAGAGGUAAGCGGAAUUCCUAGUGUAGCGGUGAAAUGCGUAGAUAUUAGGAGGAACAUCAGUGGCGAAGGCGGCUUCUGGACUGAAACUGA
RNAcentral lists this ribosomal RNA (669 nucleotides) under uncultured Lachnospiraceae bacterium. Its description in RNAcentral is "bacterial SSU rRNA". It matches the Rfam family "Bacterial small subunit ribosomal RNA", at positions 63 to 743 of the family's 1533-position model. Lineage: Bacteria; Bacillati; Bacillota; Clostridia; Lachnospirales; Lachnospiraceae. The record is from RNAcentral.